UGGCGAACGGGUGAGUAACGCGUGAGUAACCUGCCCUGGAGUGGGGGACAACAGUUGGAAACGACUGCUAAUACCGCAUAAGCCCACGAUCCGGCAUCGGAUUGAGGGAAAAGGAUUUAUUCGCUUCAGGAUGGACUCGCGUCCAAUUAGCUGGUUGGUGAGGUAACGGCCCACCAAGGCGACGAUUGGUAGCCGGACUGAGAGGUUGAACGGCCACAUUGGGACUGAGACACGGCCCAG
This 240-nucleotide ribosomal RNA is filed under the name uncultured bacterium. Its description in RNAcentral is "partial 16S ribosomal RNA". It matches the Rfam family "Bacterial small subunit ribosomal RNA", at positions 96 to 334 of the family's 1533-position model. The record is from RNAcentral.